RNAcentral lists this ribosomal RNA (405 nucleotides) under uncultured bacterium. RNAcentral's name for it is "partial 16S ribosomal RNA". It matches the Rfam family "Bacterial small subunit ribosomal RNA", at positions 28 to 526 of the family's 1533-position model. The record is from RNAcentral.
GAUGAACGCUGGCGGCGUGCCCAAUACAUGCAAGUAGAGCGAAGCGGGGACGGGUGAGUAACACGUGGAUAACCUCCUAUAAGACUGGGAUAACUUCGGGAAACCGGAGCUAAACCGGAUACUUAUAGAUGGAUCCGCGCUGCAUGAUCUAUUUGGUAAGGUAACGGCUUACCAAGGCAACGAUGCAUAGCCGACCUGACAGGAUGAUCGGCUACACGAGAACUAAGACACUGACCAGACUCCUCCGGUAGGCCGCAGCAGGGAAUCUUCGGCAAUGGGCGAAAGCCUUACGGUGCAGCGCCACGUGAGUGAUACAGUUCAUCAGAGCGUAAACCUCUGUUAUUAUGGAAGCGUUACCUAAUCAGAAAGCCACGGCUAACUACGUGCCAGCCGCCGCGGUAAUUC